Molecule: long non-coding RNA, 312 nt
Filed under: Ricinus communis (castor bean)
Lineage: Eukaryota; Viridiplantae; Streptophyta; Magnoliopsida; Malpighiales; Euphorbiaceae
Description: long non-coding RNA (RCOM_LNC000443)
Source: RNAcentral
GACUUGAUCCGUCCAUUUCCAGCCUCUAUUUGGCAACGUGAAGUUAUGUUCUAGCCACUGAGCCAAACUGCUGAACCUGGAACUUCGAAAAGUAGACAAACUCGUAAACAGCAGAAGUGCGCAGAAGAAUACUCAUAGCCGAACUUAUUCUUUUUCUUUUCAAAUACCUGUCUCUUGCAAGCCAUUACCGGGCCUAAUUUUAAUUAAAAACUCUGUUACAAUUACGUUUCAGCAUUUUUUUAACUCUAACCCUCCACCUGUUUGAUCAAAUGUUUUAAUGUGCAUCACCGACAAUUCUUUUUUUAAAAGAAU